UUGAACGCUGGCGGAAUGCUUUACACAUGCCAGUCGCACGGCAGCACGGGGGCAACCCUGGUGGCGAGUGGCGAACGGGUGAGUAAUACAUCGGAACGUGCCCGGUCGUGGGGGAUAACGUAGCGAAAGUUACGCUAAUACCGCAUACGAUCUGAGGAUGAAAGCGGGGGACCUUCGGGCCUCGCGCGAUCGGAGCGGCCGAUGUCAGAUUAGGUAGUUGGUGGGGUAAAGGCCUACCAAGCCGACGAUCUGUAGCUGGUCUGAGAGGACGACCAGCCACACUGGGACUGAGACACGGCCCAGACUCCUACGGGAGGCAGCAGUGGGGAAUUUUGGACAAUGGGCGCAAGCCUGAUCCAGCCAUUCCGCGUGCAGGACGAAGGCCUUCGGGUUGUAAACUGCUUUUGUAUGGAACGAAAAGGCUCUGGCUAAUACCUGGGGCUCAUGACGGUACCGUAAGAAUAAGCACCGGCUAACUACGUG
This 483-nucleotide ribosomal RNA is filed under the name uncultured bacterium. RNAcentral's name for it is "partial 16S ribosomal RNA". It matches the Rfam family "Bacterial small subunit ribosomal RNA", at positions 30 to 507 of the family's 1533-position model. The record is from RNAcentral.